Molecule: unclassified non-coding RNA, 414 nt
Filed under: Hevea brasiliensis (rubber tree)
Lineage: Eukaryota; Viridiplantae; Streptophyta; Magnoliopsida; Malpighiales; Euphorbiaceae
Source: RNAcentral
AACCUGGUUUUUUUAAGCACUUGGUUUAAGCUAAAAUGCUAAAAAUAUAUGAAAAGCCACAAGUUAGAGUUUCUUACUUUAGACUUUUGGCUUAUAAGUUAAAAAAACGAAAAGCAAUUGAAUCAAGCUUAGUUUUGGAUGGAUGUGCAUGUCUCAUUUUGAUCAUUCAUAGCUUAGGGUGCUUGCAUCCUAUCUUAUUGAAAGUUGAAGUGGUGCUUACUUGUUUGUGCAGGAACAACAGUCCUAUAGUACUUUCUUUCUUUUUCUAUUUUCUCUAUCUUUACUGUCACUUAAAAUAUUUUGUUUUGGUAAUCAAGAUCUAUUUUGUUUAUUAUCUCUCAUGUUAUUAGUGCCUUUAAUCUCGUAAACGGCUGUAGUUGAUAUCGUAAUUUGUGUUGAAUAUGUACCCGAAAU